UAGGGGUAAAAAAAUGUAAGCCUAUAUUCUUUUUUUCACAUGAUCUCCCUCACUCGGGUUAAAGGAAUUGCUUUAGUAAGGAAGAGAACAUUUCCCAAUAUGUUUGACUUUUUUUUUUUUUUUUUUUUUUUUUUCCCAGAUUCAUACCUUAUAACUUUGGCAAGAUAUUAUUGAUCAAUAUGUCUGCAAAACUGCCAUGAUUCAGGACUUUUUUCUUCAGUUCUUAAUGGUGGAUAAAGUGGCUAUGUUGAAUUAUUAUCAAUGAGAGAAGAUGAAGAUAUCCAUGCGAUGGUGGCUGUGAGGAAAAUGAGAUAGCAUUGGUGUAUGGGAUGGAAAGCAAAUGUGGAUCAAAUCCAAAAUCUUUGUCUACACCUCAGUGGUAAUCUGCAGAAGUUCUGUAAAGGAGGUCUUCCAUGGAAUUUUUCAGAAUGCAAAGAAGGUGUCCAGCAUGUCAUAAAGGAAUUGUGCUGAGGAGUUAGAAUAGCACUCUUAUAGGUAUGUACCCUGUUUGUGUACAUGCCAGUGAACCAGAAUACUGUUUAUCAUCUUGAAUGCUUGCUUCUGGCUUCAAGCUUCACUUGCACUGAUAUGCAGCUGUUAUAGUCAACAUGCUGACACUUGCAGCUUGACUUAUUGCUUGAAUUUUAUGGAGAAAACUUUAUAUUUCUUGUCGCUUUGUUUUCCUGAAGUUUUCCUUGAAGGAUCAGCAUAAAUAUAAUGGAGUCAAACCCAUUUCUACAGCUCUCAUUCCUGUCUCAGACAACCUUAGCAAACAUAACAAAUGUAGAAUUUUAG
RNAcentral lists this long non-coding RNA (795 nucleotides) under Coturnix japonica (Japanese quail). RNAcentral's name for it is "lncRNA (ENSCJPG00005009879.1)". Lineage: Eukaryota; Metazoa; Chordata; Aves; Galliformes; Phasianidae. The record is from RNAcentral.